GAUGAACGCUGGCGGCGUGCCUAAUACAUGCAAGUUGAGCGAAUGGAUUAAGAGCUUGCUCUUAUGAAGUUAGCGGCGGACGGGUGAGUAACACGUGGGUAACCUGCCCAUAAGACUGGGAUAACUCCGGGAAACCGGGGCUAAUACCGGAUAACAUUUUGAACCGCAUGGUUCGAAAUUGAAAGGCGGCUUCGGCUGUCACUUAUGGAUGGACCCGCGUCGCAUUAGCUAGUUGGUGAGGUAACGGCUCACCAAGGCAACGAUGCGUAGCCGACCUAGGAGGGUGAUCGGCCACACUGGGACUGAGGCACGGCCCAGACUCCGACGGGAGGCAGCAGUAGGGAAUCUUCCGCAAUGGACGAAAGUCUGACGGAGCAACGCCGCGUGAGUGAUGAAGGCUUUCGGGUCGUAAAACUCUGUUGUUAGGGAAGAACAAGUGCUAGUUGAAUAAGCUGGCACCUUGACGGUACCUAACCAGAAAGCCACGGCUAACUACGUGCCAGCCGCCGCCGUAA
RNAcentral lists this ribosomal RNA (515 nucleotides) under uncultured bacterium. RNAcentral describes it as "partial 16S ribosomal RNA". It matches the Rfam family "Bacterial small subunit ribosomal RNA", at positions 28 to 523 of the family's 1533-position model. The record is from RNAcentral.